RNAcentral lists this unclassified non-coding RNA (253 nucleotides) under uncultured Eubacteriales bacterium. RNAcentral's name for it is "contains 16S-23S intergenic spacer region". It matches the Rfam family "Bacterial small subunit ribosomal RNA", at positions 524 to 776 of the family's 1533-position model. Lineage: Bacteria; Bacillati; Bacillota; Clostridia; Eubacteriales. The record is from RNAcentral.
UACGUAGGGGGCAAGCGUUAUCCGGAUUUACUGGGUGUAAAGGGAGCGUAGACGGCUUAGCAAGUCUGAAGUGAAAGCCCGCGGCUCAACUGCGGGGCUGCUUUGGAAACUGUGUUGCUGGAGUGCCGGAGAGGUAAGUGGAAUUCCUAGUGUAGCGGUGAAAUGCGUAGAUAUUAGGAGGAACACCAGUGGCGAAGGCGGCUUACUGGACGGUAACUGACGUUGAGGCUCGAAAGCGUGGGGAGCAAACAGG